NNNNNNNNNNGGAUUCCCCUAGUAACGGCGAGUGAAGCGGGAAAAGCUCAAAUUUAAAAUCUGGCGGUBGCACCGUCCGAGUUGUAUUCUAGAGAAGCAUCAUCUACGCUGGACCAUGUACAAGUCUCUUGGAACAGAGCGUCAUAAAGGGUGAGAAUCCCGUCCUUGACAUGGACUCCCAGUGUUCUGUGUUGUGCUCUCAACGAGUCGAGUUGUUUGGGAAUGCAGCUCAAAAUGGGUGGUAAAUUCCAUCUAAAGCUAAAUAAUGGCGAGAGACCGAUAGCGAACAAGUACCGUGAGGGAAAGAUGAAAAGCACUUUGGARAGAGAGUUAAACAGUACGUGAAAUUGUUGAAAUGGAAACGCUUGAAGUCAGUCGCGUUCUCUGGGAUUCAGCCUUGCCUACGGGCCAGCAUGGAUUUCGACCGUUGGAAAAGGGCUGGGGGAAUGUGGCACUUUCGGGUGUGUUAUAGCCCCCUGUCGGAUGCAUCGGUUGGGAUCGAGGACCUCAGUGCACGCUUCGGUUGUGCUUUGAUGCUGGCGUAAUGGCUUUAAACGACCCGUCUUGAAACACGGACCAAGGAGUCUAACAUGUCUGCGAGUGUUUGGGUGAAAAACUCGGACGCGCAAUGAAAGUGAUAGUUGGGAACCUUUUCACGAGGGGGCACCGACGCCCGGACCAGACCUUCUGUGACGGAUCCGAGGUAGAGCAUAUAUGUUGGGACCCGAAAGAUGGUGAACUAUGCCUGCAUAGGGUGAAGCCAGAGGAAACUCUGGUGGAGGCUCGUAGCGAUUCUGACGUGCAAAUCGAUCGUCAAAUGUGGGUAUAGGGGCGAAAGACUAAUCGAACCAUNNNNNNNNNNNNNNNNNNN
Molecule: ribosomal RNA, 871 nt
Filed under: Uthatobasidium sp. FO30284
Lineage: Eukaryota; Fungi; Basidiomycota; Agaricomycetes; Cantharellales; Ceratobasidiaceae
Description: partial 25S ribosomal RNA
Rfam family: Eukaryotic large subunit ribosomal RNA
Source: RNAcentral